This 361-nucleotide transfer RNA is filed under the name uncultured Microcystis sp. RNAcentral's name for it is "partial 16S-23S ribosomal RNA intergenic spacer". The stretch from base 136 to 209 matches the Rfam family "tRNA". The record is from RNAcentral. Lineage: Bacteria; Bacillati; Cyanobacteriota; Cyanophyceae; Chroococcales; Microcystaceae.
AAAGGGAGACCUAAUUCAGGUAUAAGACGAAAAAAAAGUAGUCCCUACCAAGAAUCAAUCCCAAAAGGUCGGAGCGAGGCGAAAUUGGCUUUCAAACUAGGUUCUGGGUUCAAACAAGACCUGAAUCAGGAACAAGGGCUAUUAGCUCAGGUGGUUAGAGCGCACCCCUGAUAAGGGUGAGGUCCCUGGUUCGAGUCCAGGAUGGCCCACCUGCACAGGUGGCAAAAACAAGAGAAGCUCCGAAUCAGCACCUUAUCUUACUUACAUAGUAAGAGAGAAUGCUGGCUCUGAGUAAAGAGUCCAGAGGAACCUUGAAAACUGCAUAGAGCUAGGUGAAAAAGCCAAAAAAGAAGACCGCAAG